CUCUCUGCUUCUGUUUUGCUUUAUUCCAUGUAGUGCUGGUCAGUAGAAGGGCACAAUCAUAUUGGCUCUAAUUUCUAAGCAAAUGAGAGCCUAGGAGGGAAAAGCCUCAAAGGAUUGAGCUGAAGAGUCAAAUACGUUAUUUUGAAUCUUGCCUCACUACCCUGUUACUUGAAACUUUAGUUAAUUCUGUAGUACAGGGUUAGUACUACCUAGCACAUAAGGUUAUUGUGAAAUAGCAAAUGGAAAUCUAAAGAAGAGCUUGCACAUAGUAGGUGAUUAGUGACUUUUAACUCCUUUCUUCUUAAAAAAGAAUCUGCCAAAAUGCCGUUGUAUACUUGCAAGACUAGCUGAGGCGUGUCUCUUGCCAGCUCUAAGGCAGCCACCCACACAUUAUGGAAUAAGUCUC
This 406-nucleotide long non-coding RNA is filed under the name Marmota monax (woodchuck). The record is from RNAcentral. Lineage: Eukaryota; Metazoa; Chordata; Mammalia; Rodentia; Sciuridae.